Molecule: long non-coding RNA, 344 nt
Filed under: Elaeis guineensis (African oil palm)
Lineage: Eukaryota; Viridiplantae; Streptophyta; Magnoliopsida; Arecales; Arecaceae
Description: long non-coding RNA (EGUI_LNC012302)
Source: RNAcentral
CAACCUUAAAUACAUAUCCUAUAGUAAAAUAUGACUCUAGCUCAAACCUUUCAAGUAGAUUUUUCUAAUGCUUGGUUGCAGCCGAUGCCUGCCAAACCCUUGGAUUCAAUAUCGACUCCAUCACUACACUUUUUAAGGCAUAAGAAUCUUCAAUAAGUGGGGCUUUAAAGAAAUCCCAAGAUCCUCAAAAGACUUCAACAUCUUGGGGUUCCCCUUGGCUUUCUUGUCCCUUUCAUGAAUAUAGUGCUCAUGCCACUUGGUGCAUUUCUUUAUGGCCAUUAAUGGAAUGGGAUCCAAAGAGAGGUGUGGGUCAAUGGCCAGCUUGCCUUGUACAUAUACUACAU